RNAcentral lists this ribosomal RNA (435 nucleotides) under Trypethelium pupula. Its description in RNAcentral is "eukaryotic LSU rRNA". It matches the Rfam family "Eukaryotic large subunit ribosomal RNA", at positions 149 to 599 of the family's 3401-position model. Lineage: Eukaryota; Fungi; Ascomycota; Dothideomycetes; Trypetheliales; Trypetheliaceae. The record is from RNAcentral.
UUUGCAGAGGAUGUUAUGGAAUCUGUAUGAACUCAAAUUCUUUGGAAAAAGAUGCCAUGGAGAGUGACAGUCUCGUACUGUUCAAUACAUUUUCCACGUAUAACUCCUUCAAAGAGUCGAGUUGUUUGGGAAUGCAGCUCUAAGUGGGACGUAAAUUUGUUCCAAAGCUAAAUACCGGCUAGAGACCGAUAGCGCACAAGUAGAGUGAUCGAAAGAUGAAAAGCACUUUGAAAAGAGAGUUAAAAAGCACGUGAAAUUGUUGAAAGGGAAGCUUAUGUCAUCAGUAUUGGAGUUAUUGUUCAGCCUUUUGGUGUAUUCAGUAACAACCAGGCUAGCAUCAGUUUGGAUAGUUGGAUAAAAGUGUUGGAAAUGUAGCUCCCUCCGGGGUGUGUUAUAGUCUGAUACACAAUGCAGCUUAUCCAGACUGAGGACCGC